AGAGUGUGCACUAUCAUCGUAACAGCAGAGACGGAGAGCAAGAUGUGAGGAGGUUAAAAGUCAGGGUCAGAAGUUCAGGUUGCUCUGACCCUCAAAUCAAUUUCAAGCACUGUUUGUGACAUUUUCCUGUGUUCCCUCGCUUGAUGUUAGUCUUUGCAAUGAACCACCGAAUCAGACUUCAGGGCUCAUGGGACUUUGGGGUUUCAGUAGGGUCAGGUCAAUUUCUACCUACCAGUGUACUGUCACCUAUGAGGCAAACCAUUAUCUAGGCGUUUGAGAACCUCAAAGUUUUGAAGCUCUGAGGGGAAAGAGAGAGGAUGAAGCGCUGGGGCCCCUGUGUCUUUGGGGCCUGACAUAGCUCAACCUGUGGCUUCAGGGGGACCGUGUGCAGCCAGGUCACAGUGGUACCGGAAAGGGAUCCUGAUCCAGACCCCAAGAGAGGGUUCUUGGAUCUCGUGCAAGAAAAAAUUCAGGAAUGCCUGACCUCCUCGGAAUGCACCUGAGUAGGACUCAGCCUCAUUUUGCCUAGCCCCUGCUCAAGAUAGAGUCACUCUGGUUGGAAGGCCUUUGGCAAUAGGAUUGGCAACUCAGAGAAAGCUGGUCCCUGGCAUGGGCAUCUCUCCCAAGGCAUUCUUCCAAAGGAUGAAUGUUGAUAAGACCUGUCCUCAGCAAUCCUCUCUUUCAAUUUUCUGGAUGAUCUCAACCAUGAUCACAACUCUGUGUAAUGCCCCAGAGCCUAUUUCUGUAAUCUCCGUCUCCAUCUGAGAAGGCCACCCUGAGUUCCAGUUACAUGCUCCAACUCCACCAGACUUCUCCAAUGGGGCGUCUCAGGCACUCCCAUCUUAGCGUUUCUAAGCCUGAACUCAUGAUCUUUCUCCUCAAACUGGUUGUUCACCAUGCUUUACUCCCACAUUUUGUUUAGUGAUAUCUUGCAAGCCACAGACUUCACAGUCAUAUUAGAAUGCUACCUUUCCCUAACUUCCAACAGAUACUCUCAGCUGAUGGCACUAAGGCUGAACCCAGAAGCUGCAGCAGUGGACGGAUGAUGAUCUGAAGAAAUGAGAUCCCUGAUGGGCUUGGAAGUCAUGGUUCCUGUAACCAUGAUGUCACACCCUCGUCCUGACACCGAGAUGGGCUGGACACAUCUGUCACCCAGGGCAAACAAAAUGCUUGGUCUGCAUCUUUCAGAAGAAAACUAAAAAUCAAGUAAUUUCUUAGAAGUUUGCUUGCGUGUGGCUUAAGUCUUCUUCUCCUGUUGAGGAAGGUGUUGAGUUUGACCAUGACAGCCCCACCCAGUCCUUGGCUCAUCUCACCCAUCAAAGAGGAUCUGGAGAUUCAGAGCUAUGCCGUGGAAGACCUUGUCAGAGCACCAGGCCAUACUGUGCUGCAGGUGGGGUUCAGGUGCCCAGUGACAACCACCGGGGCCGCUCAUCCCUAAACGUCUGUUGAACUUAAAGUUCUACUCAAGACUUUCUACAUUAAAUACCCUUUCAUACAGCAAAAUCAGCCAUGUUCUGAGAUGUGAAACUGCAGCACAAAGUUACUGUGGUCUCCACCUAUAGAAAUGGAAUGUUACUUCAUAAAGCCCCAGGCCAAAAAAGAAACCCCAAAACUCUGAAACGACACCCUUAAAUUUAACCUGAACAUCUGGCCAGCCUCCUCCAUCAUUGAAACUUCUCCUGAGUGUUGGCAUGGAUCCUAUGUUUCUCCAGCCAGGGAGCUUUGCUCCCCAUUCUUGAUGGACCCACUGAGUCCCAAUUUUCUACAUUUUACUUGGGUCAUUCCACCACUUUGGGAUGCUUUUCCUACUCUGUUGUACUUUAAAAAUGUUUCUUCUUUCCUAUUCUCAGCUUCACGCAUUUGUCUUCUUUCUCAAUUCAACUUGCUUAGUUCUCGCUACAUCAAUUCCUAGAGCCAUCCAUCUGCACUUCUGAAUCAUUUAAGUUUUGUUUGGCUACAAGUAAUGGAAACCCACUCUGAGUAACUCAAGCAAGAACUGGAAUUUAUUGGAAGGACAGUGGGAUAUAUCAUAAGAUCCAAAAAGAAUUGAACAAAUAAAAUUUCAGAGGGAAGAAAAAGGGCAGCUCCAGUGACUUCAGCAACAAGACAACAUAAGUCUUUCUAGAGCAUAGCUACUAAUAUUAUUCAGCUGCAAGAGCCCCUCCCCAUGAGAAACUUGAUUGAAAAUUCUGAUUUCCCACAGAGAAGAAUCUGAUCGACUCAGUUUAGCUUUGGUUGCCCAACUGCUCAAUCUUGCAUGAAUUAUUUCCAGCCAAGGGGACAAGGUGUAUUAUAGGGACACACCUGCUUUCUCCAAAGAAAAGAUCUGGGCAUUUCCUGAUCAUUUCCCUGAGAAGGAGGAAUCAUUGUGAGCCAAGAAGAUACCUCAAGUAUAAUGAGCUCAGUUACACUUUUUUGAUAUCUGAGUAUUUGGUAUGUAGUGUGCAUUUUAAAAAACAUGUCUCUCUCCAGGACAAUGUUAACCUCUUCCACGGUGGAGUGGGGCUAUGUGAUUUUGUGCUUAAUUUACCUAGCUGGUGGGCCUCCAGUAGAGGCUGUAGUCGAGCCAGCUGAUACCACAUCAGUUCUCCAAAGGAACAAAAGCUGCCCUUCCUUCCUUAUUGCAAAGUUUGACAAAAAGCAAAACGUGAAGAAUAAAAGCGACUUGCAUUGUCUAACAUCUACCGCAGUGUUUGAGCUGCAGCUGCUCCUCCUCCCCUGAUUGUUUUCAAAUAUUUCUUCAAAAAAGGCAUUAAAGAAAAACACAAGAUAUUGCACAGGGAACCAAAACAAAUCACAAUCUUCAAGGACAAAGCAUUGCAAAAUGGCUUACAUCCCCAAAUGGGAACAGAUAUGGUUGGAAAUUAAAACAAUCUUUUUUAUUUUAAGCGGAAAUGCUAGCAGAUGCCACAAGAAACAUAUGGAACUCGCCACAGACAAAUAGGGAAUGCUUUCUGCGUGUGGAAGUAGAGCAAAGGGAGUGACCACCUCUGACUGUCAGGGGGAACCAUCAGCUCGAACUGUUUGCUAUGGCAGGAGGGAGUUUGCAGAGUCCGGAGUCCUGCCCUCAUGAAAAAGCUUUAACGGUCUUGACUGAGUAAUUUAAGUCAUUCUUGUCAGGGAGUUUCAGAACACUAUGCACAAUUAUAUUUAUUUCACAAUGCAUUGAUUCCAGAUAUCUUUUUAAAUGUGCUUACCUCUGUGUGCGUUGUUACCUGUUCCCUCUUUGAAUCUCUGAAUGAAACAAAAUAAAUAGGAAAAAAUGGAGACAUAGAAGCAUUGUCCACAAGGCAUCUCCCACUCUAGAGGUCUCCCAGCCCCGUGCUAGCUUGUUAAUUUAUUAUCGCUUGUCUGUCAAACAAGGAAGAUAUAAUUUGCCACACAACAUGUUUUCCUAAAGCAAUGUUUUUGUACAAUUUCCUGAUUUCCAAAAAUAUGACCAAUGAUAUUCUGGUUGA
Long non-coding RNA from Homo sapiens (human), 3458 nucleotides. Ensembl annotates it as long intergenic non-protein coding RNA 838. The record is from Ensembl. Lineage: Eukaryota; Metazoa; Chordata; Mammalia; Primates; Hominidae.